RNAcentral lists this ribosomal RNA (253 nucleotides) under uncultured bacterium. RNAcentral's name for it is "partial 16S ribosomal RNA". It matches the Rfam family "Bacterial small subunit ribosomal RNA", at positions 524 to 776 of the family's 1533-position model. The record is from RNAcentral.
UACGAAGGGGGCUAGCGUUGCUCGGAUUGACUGGGCGUAAAGGGCGCGUAGGCGGUUCGUACAGUCAGACGUGAAAUUCCUGGGCUCAACCUGGGGGCUGCGUUUGAUACGUGCGGACUUGAGUGCGGAAGAGGGUCGUGGAAUUCCCAGUGUAGAGGUGAAAUUCGUAGAUAUUGGGAAGAACACCGAUGGCGAAGGCAGCCAUCUGGACCGACACUGACGCUGAGGCGCGAAAGCGUGGGGAGCAAACAGG